AGCCAGACUCCUACGGGAGGCAGCAGUGGGGAAUAUUGCACAAUGGGGGAAACCCUGAUGCAGCGACGCCGCGUGAGUGAAGAAGUAUUUCGGUAUGUAAAGCUCUAUCAGCAGGGAAGAAAAUGACGGUACCUGACUAAGAAGCCCCGGCUAACUACGUGCCAGCAGCCGCGGUAAUACGUAGGGGGCAAGCGUUAUCCGGAUUUACUGGGUGUAAAGGGAGCGUAGACGGCAUGGCAAGUCAGAUGUGAAAGCCCGGGGCUCAACCCCGGGACUGCAUUUGAAACUGUCAGGCUGGAGUGCAGGAGAGGUAAGUAGAAUUCCUAGUGUAGCGGUGAAAUGCGUAGAUAUUAGGAGGAACACCAGUGGCGAAGGCGGCUUACUGGACUGUAACUGACGUUGAGGCUCGAAAGCGUGGGGAGCAAACAGGAUUAGAUACCCCGGUA
RNAcentral lists this ribosomal RNA (446 nucleotides) under uncultured bacterium. RNAcentral's name for it is "bacterial SSU rRNA". It matches the Rfam family "Bacterial small subunit ribosomal RNA", at positions 329 to 792 of the family's 1533-position model. The record is from RNAcentral.